Molecule: ribosomal RNA, 213 nt
Filed under: Triticum aestivum (bread wheat)
Lineage: Eukaryota; Viridiplantae; Streptophyta; Magnoliopsida; Poales; Poaceae
Description: partial small subunit ribosomal RNA
Source: RNAcentral
AUGGCCCCUAAUAGAGCCCCUGGACCCGAUAAUAUCCCUGCUGAGUUCUAUCAGGUGUGCUGGGAUGUCGUUAAAGACGACAUUAUGGCCCUUUUUAAAGCUUUUCAUCAAGGGACGUUGGAUGUCCAGAGGCUUAAUUAUGGAGUUAUUACUCUGCUCCCAAAAGUUUCUGGAGCCGAGAAAAUCCAGCAGUACAGGCCUAUUUGCUUGCUG